RNAcentral lists this ribosomal RNA (445 nucleotides) under uncultured bacterium. RNAcentral's name for it is "partial 16S ribosomal RNA". It matches the Rfam family "Bacterial small subunit ribosomal RNA", at positions 354 to 796 of the family's 1533-position model. The record is from RNAcentral.
GUAAGGAAUAUUGGUCAAUGGGCGCAAGCCUGAACCAGCCAUGCCGCGUGCAGGAAGACGGCCCUCCGGGUUGUAAACUGCUUUUGUACGGGAAUAAACCUCUCUACGUGUAGGGAGCUGAAUGUACCGUAAGAAUAAGGAUCGGCUAACUCCGUGCCAGCAGCCGCGGUAAUACGGAGGAUCCAAGCGUUAUCCGGAUUUAUUGGGUUUAAAGGGUGCGUAGGCGGCCUGUUAAGUCAGGGGUGAAAGACGGUGGCUCAACCAUCGCAGUGCCCUUGAUACUGAUGGGCUUGAAUAGACUAGAGGUAGGCGGAAUGUGACAAGUAGCGGUGAAAUGCAUAGAUAUGUCACAGAACACCGAUUGCGAAGGCAGCUUACUAUGGUCUGAUUGACGCUGAGGCACGAAAGCGUGGGGAUCGAACAGGAUUAGAUACCCUGGUAGUCC